UUUUUUUCAGUUUAAAAGUAAUUAAUAGAGUUUUUCCAUUCACUGCAAUUGGAUACAGUUUAACAAUGGGUCAUGUUUUGUGUCCUAUGUAAGUUCUCGUUACGCCAGAUCUGAAGUGUCCAUCGUUUCCCAUCACCUGUUCCUUGAUGUUGAUGGUUUUCAUUUGCUUGUUGGUAACAUGUCUUCCUAAAUAUUAACUGCAUUACCAGUGUUGAUUGCCCUAUUAUUGUUUACUGUAGUCUGACACGAGAUAUUCCU
Molecule: long non-coding RNA, 258 nt
Filed under: Mytilus galloprovincialis (Mediterranean mussel)
Lineage: Eukaryota; Metazoa; Mollusca; Bivalvia; Mytilida; Mytilidae
Source: RNAcentral